Molecule: ribosomal RNA, 253 nt
Filed under: uncultured bacterium
Lineage: Bacteria
Description: partial 16S ribosomal RNA
Rfam family: Bacterial small subunit ribosomal RNA
Source: RNAcentral
UACGGGGGGUGCAAGAGAUAUUCGGAAUUAUUGGGCGUAAAGGGCGCGUAGGCGGUUGAAUAAGUCAGAUGUGAAAGCCCGUGGCUUAACCAAGGAAGUGCAUUUGAUACUAUUUGACUUGAGUAUGGGAGAGGGAAGUGGAAUUCCUGGUGUAGAGGUGAAAUUCGUAGAUAUCAGGAGGAACGCCGGUGGCGAAAGCGACUUCCUGGACCAAUACUGACGCUGAGGCGCGAAGGCGUGGGGAGCAAACAGG